CCUACGGGUGGCAGCAGUGAGGAAUAUUGGUCAAUGGACGAGAGCCUGAACCAGCCAAGUCGCGUGAAGGAUGACUGCCCUAUGGGUUGUAAACUUCUUUUAUCAAGGAAUAAAACGAGGCACGUGUGCCUUUUUGCAUGUACUUUAUGAAUAAGCAUCGGCUAACUCCGUGCCAGCAGCCGCGGUAAUACGGAGGAUCCGAGCGUUAUCCGGAUUUAUUGGGUUUAAAGGGUGCGUAGAUGGGUUGUUAAGUCAGUUGUGAAAGUUUGCGGCUCAACCGUAAAAUUGCAGUUGAAACUGGCAGGCGUGAGUACAGGAGAGGUGGGCGGAAUGCGUGGUGUAGCGGUGAAAUGCUUAGAUAUCACGAAGAACUCCGAUUGCGAAGGCAGCUCACUGGACUGCAACUGACACUGAGGCACGAAAGUGUGGGUAUCAAACAGGAUUAGAUACCCGGGUAGUC
This 460-nucleotide ribosomal RNA is filed under the name uncultured bacterium. RNAcentral's name for it is "partial 16S ribosomal RNA". It matches the Rfam family "Bacterial small subunit ribosomal RNA", at positions 338 to 795 of the family's 1533-position model. The record is from RNAcentral.